AAAAAUAUCUCUGGUAAAAGAGUUACUUUGAUUGAGUAAAUAAUAGAGGUUUAAAUCCUUUUAUUUUUA
This is a non-coding RNA of Ictidomys tridecemlineatus (thirteen-lined ground squirrel), 69 nucleotides long. NCBI's taxonomy places the organism in Eukaryota, Metazoa, Chordata, Mammalia, Rodentia, Sciuridae. The record is from Rfam.